UAUCCUACGGGGGGCAGCAGUGGGGAAUAUUGCACAAUGGGGGAAACCCUGAUGCAGCGACGCCGCGUGAGUGAAGAAGUAUUUCGGUAUGUAAAGCUCUAUCAGCAGGGAAGAAGAAAGACGGUACCUGACUAAGAAGCCCCGGCUAACUACGUGCCAGCAGCCGCGGUAAUACGUAGGGGGCAAGCGUUAUCCGGAUUUACUGGGUGUAAAGGGAGCGUAGACGGCUGUGCAAGUCUGAAGUGAAAGCCCAGGGCUCAACCCUGGGACUGCAUUGGAAACUACCGAACUAGAGUGUCGGGGGG
RNAcentral lists this ribosomal RNA (305 nucleotides) under uncultured bacterium. Its description in RNAcentral is "bacterial SSU rRNA". It matches the Rfam family "Bacterial small subunit ribosomal RNA", at positions 335 to 656 of the family's 1533-position model. The record is from RNAcentral.